Molecule: ribosomal RNA, 465 nt
Filed under: uncultured Klebsiella sp.
Lineage: Bacteria; Pseudomonadati; Pseudomonadota; Gammaproteobacteria; Enterobacterales; Enterobacteriaceae
Description: bacterial SSU rRNA
Rfam family: Bacterial small subunit ribosomal RNA
Source: RNAcentral
CCUACGGGCGGCUGCAGUGGGGAAUAUUGCACAAUGGGCGCAAGCCUGAUGCAGCCAUGCCGCGUGUGUGAAGAAGGCCUUCGGGUUGUAAAGCACUUUCAGCGGGGAGGAAGGCGGUGAGGUUAAUAGCCUCAUCGAUUGACGUUACCCGCAGAAGAAGCACCGGCUAACUCCGUGCCAGCAGCCGCGGUAAUACGGAGGGUGCAAGCGUUAAUCGGAAUUACUGGGCGUAAAGCGCACGCAGGCGGUCUGUCAAGUCGGAUGUGAAAUCCCCGGGCUCAACCUGGGAACUGCAUUCGAAACUGGCAGGCUAGAGUCUUGUAGAGGGGGGUAGAAUUCCAGGUGUAGCGGUGAAAUGCGUAGAGAUCUGGAGGAAUACCGGUGGCGAAGGCGGCCCCCUGGACAAAGACUGACGCUCAGGUGCGAAAGCGUGGGGAGCAAACAGGAUUAGAUACCCGAGUAGUC